UACGAAGGGGGCUAGCGUUGCUCGGAAUUACUGGGCGUAAAGGGCGCGUAGGCGGACAGUUUAGUCAGAGGUGAAAGCCCAGGGCUCAACCUUGGAAUUGCCUUUGAUACUGGCUGUCUUGAGUUCGGGAGAGGUGAGUGGAAUGCCGAGUGUAGAGGUGAAAUUCGUAGAUAUUCGGCGGAACACCAGUGGCGAAGGCGACUCACUGGCCCGAUACUGACGCUGAGACGCGAAAGCUAGGGGAGCGAACAGG
Molecule: ribosomal RNA, 253 nt
Filed under: uncultured bacterium
Lineage: Bacteria
Description: partial 16S ribosomal RNA
Rfam family: Bacterial small subunit ribosomal RNA
Source: RNAcentral